GCGGAGUCUGCCUGGUCGGCUGGGAGGCCUAGGGGCUGUGCAGAGCAGCAGGCAGUGGAAGCCACGAACCACCCCGCUCGCCCACACUAGUCCCUGACAAGUCAUUAGAAUUCACGUCUGCGCAGGCCCUGAGGCUGCACAGUUUUAUCCAAUUUCCAUAAGAGCUGGGCUUUUGAAUUUUUUCCCACAGCUGAAAUUGCUGCUGCCUUGCUGGUGAUUCUGCAAAAAAACUCCUCUAGUCCGCCUCUAAGUUCAAUCUCCUGCCCCUGAGCCCAAGGCCAGUCUCCCUGUGAACUGCAAGGACCACGUGACUGCCGGGCCCAUUGCAGUGAGCUUGUUUUCUGCACCGUGGCUGUGUCUGCACACUGGAUGCCUCCUUGGGAUGGCCUCUCCCCCAGCAUCCACGUGAAGGUGCAGCUCGUCAGCACGCCUGGGCUGGCCCUGGUGGAGGACGCAGGGGGACAUGGCUGUGUGCAGGGAGAGGGAACACCGUGCAGUGGACAUGGCUGCCAAGGGGUGUCCAGGCCACUGCCCUGUUGGGAACGCAGUGCAGGGUGGAGACACAGCUCUGCUGUCCCAGCAGCGACCUUGAUGGCUCUGAGCCUCAUUUCCUGUGCCCACACAAUGGCCAGCA
Molecule: long non-coding RNA, 634 nt
Filed under: Homo sapiens (human)
Lineage: Eukaryota; Metazoa; Chordata; Mammalia; Primates; Hominidae
Description: HSALNT0082960
Source: RNAcentral